GACGAAGGGGGCUAGCGUUGUUCGGAAUUACUGGGCGUAAAGCGCGUGUAGGCGGUUGCCCAAGUCGGGUGUGAAAGCCUUGAGCUCAACUCAAGAAAUGCACUCGGUACUGGGUGACUAGAGGACCGGAGAGGAUAGUGGAAUUCCCAGUGUAGUGGUGAAAUACGUAGAGAUUGGGAAGAACACCAGUGGCGAAGGCGGCUAUCUGGACGGUUUCUGACACUAAGACUCGAAAGCGUGGGGAGCAAACAGG
This 253-nucleotide ribosomal RNA is filed under the name uncultured bacterium. RNAcentral describes it as "partial 16S ribosomal RNA". It matches the Rfam family "Bacterial small subunit ribosomal RNA", at positions 524 to 776 of the family's 1533-position model. The record is from RNAcentral.